GCUUGCGGCAGGCCUAACACAUGCAAGUCGAGCGGCAGCGGAAAAGUAGCUUGCUACUUUUGCCGGCGAGCGGCAGACGGGUGAGUAGUGCCUGGGAAAUUGCCCAGUCGAGGGAGAUAACUAGUUGGAAACGACUGCUAAUACCGCAUACGCCCUACGGGAGAAAGCAGGGGACCCUCGGCUCUUGCGCGAUUGGAUAAGCCCAUGUGGGAUUAUCUAGGUGGAGAGGUAAUGUCUCACCAGGCUAUCCAUAUGUGCUCAGAGAAGAUGAUCAGCCACACUGUGAAAGUGACACGCGCUCCACUCCCCUAGGGGACGCCGCAGUGGAGUAUAGUGCACAGUGGGCGAAACCGUGAUGCACCCGUGCCGCGUGUGAGAAAAACCCCCUCGGUUUGUAGAGCUUUCUCAGCCGAAGAAGAAAGUUCAGUAUAUAAUACCUGCUGUCUGACACUUUACUCGCAAAAAAAAACACCCGAUAUCUCCGUGCCAGCAGCCGCGAUAAUACAGAGGGCGAAAGCGUUAAUCGGAAUUACUGGGCGUAAAGCGCACGCAGGCGGUUGGAUAAGUUAGAUGUGAAAGCCCCGGGCUCAACCUGGGAAUUGCAUUUAAAACUGUCCAGCUAGAGUCUUGUAGAGGGGGG
This 640-nucleotide ribosomal RNA is filed under the name Aeromonas sp. RNAcentral's name for it is "bacterial SSU rRNA". It matches the Rfam family "Bacterial small subunit ribosomal RNA", at positions 35 to 661 of the family's 1533-position model. The record is from RNAcentral. Lineage: Bacteria; Pseudomonadati; Pseudomonadota; Gammaproteobacteria; Aeromonadales; Aeromonadaceae.